GUCCAUGCCGUAAACGUUGGGCGCUAGGUGUGGGGCUCAUUCCACGAGUUCCGUGCCGCAGCUAACGCAUUAAGCGCCCCGCCUGGGGAGUACGGCCGCAAGGCUAAAACUCAAAGGAAUUGACGGGGGCCCGCACAAGCGGCGGAGCAUGCGGAUUAAUUCGAUGCAACGCGAAGAACCUUACCAAGGCUUGACAUACAGGGAAAACUGUCAGAGAUGGCAGGUCCGCAAGGGCCCUGUACAGGUGGUGCAUGGUUGUCGU
RNAcentral lists this ribosomal RNA (262 nucleotides) under uncultured bacterium. Its description in RNAcentral is "partial 16S ribosomal RNA". It matches the Rfam family "Bacterial small subunit ribosomal RNA", at positions 793 to 1055 of the family's 1533-position model. The record is from RNAcentral.